UACGAAGGGAGCUAGCGUUGCUCGGAAUCACUGGGCGUAAAGGGUGCGUAGGCGGGUCUUUAAGUCGGGGGUGAAAUCCUGGAGCUCAACUCCAGAACUGCCUUUGAUACUGAGGAUCUUGAGUUCGGGAGAGGUGAGUGGAACUGCGAGUGUAGAGGUGAAAUUCGUAGAUAUCCGGAAGAACACCAGUGGCGAAGGCGACACACUGGCCCGUUACUGACGCUGAGGCGCGAAAGCGUGGGGAGCGAACAGG
This 253-nucleotide ribosomal RNA is filed under the name uncultured bacterium. RNAcentral describes it as "partial 16S ribosomal RNA". It matches the Rfam family "Bacterial small subunit ribosomal RNA", at positions 524 to 776 of the family's 1533-position model. The record is from RNAcentral.